AGGGGGAGGGGAGGAGCCCGCGUGGCCACGCCCCCCCGGAGGCAACACCAAUAGGGUGUGGCCACGCCCCGUUGGAGGCCACGCCCCCAUUUUAUGUGGCCACGCCCCCUCGAUGUGGCCACACCCACCAUUGGAGGCCACCCCCCCUGGAGACCACCACUUUUCACGUGGCCACGCCCCCUUGGAGGCCACGCCCCCAUUUGAUGUGGCCACACCCACCAUUGGAGGCCACGCCCCCUGGAGAUCACCACUUUCACGUGGCCCCGCCCCAUUGGAGUCCACGCCCCCAUUUGGUGUGGCCACGCCCCCUUUUGAUGUGGCCACACCCACCAUUNUGAGGCCACGCCCCCUGGAGACAGCACCACUUUCACGUGGCCCCGCCCCCUUGGAGGCCAUGCCCCCAUUUGAUGUGGCCACGCCCCCAUUGACGCGGCCCCGCCCACCAUGUGAGGCCACGCCCCUUUGAUGUGGCCACGCCCACUUGGAGCCACACCCAAUUGAUGUGGCCACGCCCACCAGGGGGGCCACGCCCCCUGGAGACAGCGCCACUUUCAUGUGACCACGCCCCCUUUGGAGGCCACGCCCCCUUGGGGACGACCCCCCCGAGGCCACGCCCCCAUUUGACGUGGCCACGCCCCUUCGAUGUGGCCACACCCACCAUUUGAGGCCACGCCCCCUGGAGACAGCACCACUUUCAUGUGGCCCCGCCCCCAUUGACGUGGCCACGCCCACCUUUCUGGCCUCUCCCCAUGUGGCCACGCUGACAUCGGCGGCCACGCCCCUUUCAUGUGACCACACCCCCCCUCGGAGGCCACGCCCCCUUUUAGGCCACGCCCACCAUUUGAGGCCUUGCCCUCUUGAUGUGGCCACGCCCCCAUGAGGCCACGCCCCCUUGGAGGUGGCCACGCCCACCUUGGAAGAACACCCCAUUUGAUGUGACCAAGCCGCUUGGAAAGCCACGCCCCUUUUGAUGUGACCACGCCCCCUUGAUGUGGCCACACCCACCAUUUGAGGCCACGCCCCCUUGGAGCCACACUCAUUUGAUGUGGCCACGCCCCCCCUUGGACGCCACGCCCCUUUGACGUGGCCACGCCCCCUUGCAGCCACACCCAUUUGAUGUGGUCACGGCCACGUUGGAGGCCACGCCCCCUUUGAUUCGGCCACGCCCCCAUGAGGCCACGCCCCUUUGGUGUGGCCACGCCCCCGCUUGAGGCCACGCCCCUUUGAGGUGGCCACACCCCCCUCUCGGAGGCCACGCCCCCCCGUGCUGUGGCCACUCCCCCAUUUGACUCCCCGCCCUAUUAACAUGCCCACACCCCUUGGAGGCCACGCCCAUUUUUGGCGGCCACGCCCCAUUCAUGAGGCCACGCCCCUUUCUGUGCCCAUCCCCCCAAUUUGAGGCCACGCCCUCAUGAACGUGGCCACGCCCCCUUGGAGACCACGCCCCUUUUGAUGUGGCCACGCCC
Molecule: long non-coding RNA, 1466 nt
Filed under: Numida meleagris (helmeted guineafowl)
Lineage: Eukaryota; Metazoa; Chordata; Aves; Galliformes; Numididae
Description: lncRNA (ENSNMEG00000002357.1)
Source: RNAcentral